RNAcentral lists this transfer RNA (65 nucleotides) under Dipodomys ordii (Ord's kangaroo rat). It matches the Rfam family "tRNA". From Rfam's summary of the family: Transfer RNA (tRNA) molecules are approximately 80 nucleotides in length. The record is from Rfam by way of RNAcentral. Lineage: Eukaryota; Metazoa; Chordata; Mammalia; Rodentia; Heteromyidae.
GGUGGCUCAGUGGUAGAGUGCUUGCUUCGCAUGCAUGAGGUCCUGGGUUCGAUUCCUCAGCACCA